RNAcentral lists this long non-coding RNA (1446 nucleotides) under Cairina moschata (Muscovy duck). RNAcentral's name for it is "domestica (muscovy Duck (domestic type)) lncRNA (ENSCMMG00000003553.1)". Lineage: Eukaryota; Metazoa; Chordata; Aves; Anseriformes; Anatidae. The record is from RNAcentral.
CUGAAGUGUAGGAACUGAUUUUGAUUAAUUUAUCCCACAAGUCUGGUUUUAUAACUAUAGCUAUUGAUUUUUUUUUUUUUUUAGUGGAAUAAGUAGCAAUCAAUCAUAUUUCCAUCUAGCUAACCAUGAUUAUUAAUAUUUUAAACUAGUUUUGAAACGGAUUGGCUGGCAAAUACGAUAGGUUUGUUCUUGAAGACAGUGAGAAUGGAGUACGCCCAAGUUCCCCGGCAUGAAUUAGCGCCACUGGAUGACCUGAUGAAAUCUGCAUCAGCCGUUAGAUUACAGAGACAGCAAUAGGAAUACAGUGCCGUCAGGGGACUGAGAUUUCCUGCCUCGAACAUGAAUAUGCUGGCUUUGUCUCAGCAUUUAUAGGGCAGAAGGAUGUAGUUAUUCUGUGACAGUAAAAGUAUAGGAGUUAAAUCAGUGAAGUGCACAUACUGGUAGAUGGAAACAUUACAGAACCAUAUGUAUUUUUAACAAUGUAUGUGGAAAGCAGCUACUUUCCUGCCAAGACCCCAGUUCAGGAUCGUGAGUUGCAGCAGCAGGAAUUGGUGACCUCACAGCCACCCAGCAGUGUGGGAAAGCAUUGUGCUCAAGUACAAGGGAUGUGUUCAUUUGCAGGGGAAAGACUGAAAGUCUUGGCAGGGCAGAUAAACCUAGACAUUCUGCUCUCAGAUGAUAGCACAUUUGGAGAUCUGAGAGAAACAGGGAGCUGCUGGAACAUAUUGCAGAAUCCUAAAGCACUUAGCAACAGAGAGAGUGUGGGAUGCAGCGACAUAAGCCGGAAUGUGGAAACAAGUGACAUCGAGGCGGCUGUUUGGGAAAGAAGAGCUUUUACUUUGUUUAUAAUUUCAGUAAUUCUAAAGAACCAUGCAGAGUGGGAGGUCACUGUGGUCUCUGACUCUGCAUAUAUUCUUCUCUGUGUGACUGCUCUUAACACUUCCAUGGUAAUUAUUGUCCAAGAGUGCUGGAUGUAUUAAUUUCCUUCUGUAUUUCCUGCUUCUCUUAAAAGCAGAGAAGAGGUAUUAAGAGAUUUGUGGAAGGGGAAUAUUAUUUGCUUUAAUUUAUCCUGUUAAAACAUACUCAUGUCAUAUGCACUACGAAGAGAUACAUAUCAGCAGAUGGCUUGAUUGCACAGCUUGAUUCUGCACAUACUAAUAAAACUCUCCUUCUGCAUAUGAGGGAGCAACAUGUACAUUUUGUAAUAUGUCCAGUCAUUAAAAUCACAGAGUGUUCUGGAGUGACACAAGCAUUCACAGUAAUGAAGUUAGAGCUUUGGACUAAUAGGAACUAAAACAUCCUGAUAGCAUACACUAACGGUGGAUGUCAAAUAACAAGCAGAAAUAGAGGGCUGAGGUGCUGACCAGGAUAAAUAGAGCCGAGAUAAGAAAAAAUGUCUCCGACAUGAGAGUGAAUUUUAGAAGGGAUUGAGAAAUUCAUGUGUUU